UACAGAGGGUGCGAGCGUUGUUCGGAAUUAUUGGGCGUAAAGGGCGCGUAGGCGGUGCGGUAAGUCACCUGUGAAAUCUCCUGGCUCAACUGGGAGUCUGCAGGCGAAACUGCCGUGCUGGAGUAUGGGAGAGGUGCGUGGAAUUCCUGGUGUAGCGGUGAAAUGCGUAGAUAUCAGGAGGAACACCUGUGGCGAAAGCGGCGCACUGGACCAUAACUGACGCUGAGGCGCGAAAGCGUGGGGAGCGAACAGG
This 253-nucleotide ribosomal RNA is filed under the name uncultured bacterium. RNAcentral describes it as "partial 16S ribosomal RNA". It matches the Rfam family "Bacterial small subunit ribosomal RNA", at positions 524 to 776 of the family's 1533-position model. The record is from RNAcentral.